This is a long non-coding RNA of Cyprinus carpio (common carp), 207 nucleotides long. RefSeq lists it as uncharacterized. The transcript has 3 exons. The record is from RefSeq and is a predicted model, not a curated record. Lineage: Eukaryota; Metazoa; Chordata; Actinopteri; Cypriniformes; Cyprinidae.
GAGUGCAGUCUUAGCGAGAAGUCUAACGGUUGGAACAAACAUGGAAUUCCUUAACCGAGCAGAGUCCACAAAACCCCAUCCAUUUGUCAUGACGAUUUGAAAAUGCCAGCAGAUCUAUCAGACAUUGAUCAUAAUCAGUGGACAGGUCACCGUAGCCACCCGGAUUCAGUCUGUAUUCAGAUCAGAUGGUGGAUCAGCACCUAGAGA